Passer domesticus (house sparrow) is the source of this 412-nucleotide long non-coding RNA. RefSeq lists it as uncharacterized. The transcript is spliced from 2 exons. Lineage: Eukaryota; Metazoa; Chordata; Aves; Passeriformes; Passeridae. The record is from RefSeq and is a predicted model, not a curated record.
UAUAAGCAAGUAGAUCAAAGCAGGAGACAAGUGACACCUCUAGGGCCUCAAGUGCUGAGGAUGAUAAACUGGAAAGGUUUAUUUAUAUCUCACACCUUCAGGAUUUGUUUCACCAAAAAAGAUGCAUUGGCAAAAAAACAGACCCGCUCCCCGCUGUGCUCAGGAGAAAUGGAUUAAACAAGCCUUUUGAAGAGCAGCUGCCCGUAAGCUGCUCUGGGGACAGCUCAGCUCAGCUUUUCCUGUGUCUCCUGGAAGCAGGACAGACACCAAAACUCCCAGGAGCAAACCUGCAUGUGUAGGCAAAAUGCUGCCAUUGGGUGAGCGCUGCACCCGAGGUUUGAGUCCGAGGCAGCCAGGGCUGGAAAAGUCACCCGGGCCCCUGACAGCACAAUAAAGGCCUAAAACCUGUCAA